Molecule: ribosomal RNA, 443 nt
Filed under: uncultured Alphaproteobacteria bacterium
Lineage: Bacteria; Pseudomonadati; Pseudomonadota; Alphaproteobacteria
Description: bacterial SSU rRNA
Rfam family: Bacterial small subunit ribosomal RNA
Source: RNAcentral
AACACAUGCAAGUCGAGCGCGCCUUCGGGUGAGCGGCGGACGGGUUAGUAACGCUGAACGUGCCCUUUUCUACGGAAUAGCCUCUGGAAACGGAGAGUAAUACCGUAUACGCCCUUUGGGGGAAAGAUUUAUCGGAGAAGGAUCGGCCCGCGUUAGAUUAGUAGUUGUGGGGUAAUGGCCUACCAAGCCUACGAUCUAUAGCUGGUUUUAGAGGAUGAUCAGCACAACACUGGGACUGAGACACGGGCCAGACUCCUACCGGAGUGCAGCAAGUGGGGAAUCUUAGACAAUGGGGGCAACCCUGAUCUAGCCAUGCCGCAGUGAGUGAUGAAAGCCUUAAGGUCGUAAAGCUCUUUCGACUGUGAUGAUUACGACAGUAGCAGGUAAAAGAAACACCGGUCUAAAUCCGAUGCCAACAACCCGCGAGUAACACACGAAGGGGU